CCUACGGGCGGCUGCAGUGGGGAAUAUUGCGCAAUGGGCGAAAGCCUGACGCAGCGACGCCGCGUGAGGGAUGAAGGUCUUCGGAUCGUAAACCUCUGUCAGCAGGGAAGAACGGUCACUGUGCUAAUCAGCAGUGAAUUGACGGUACCUGCAAAGGAAGCACCGGCUAACUCCGUGCCAGCAGCCGCGGUGAUAGGGGGGGGGCGAGCUUUAAUCGGAGUUACUGGGCGUAAAGCGCUCGGGGGCGGGAUGGCAAGUCAAGGGUGAAAUCCCCGCGCUCAACGUGGGAACUGCCUUUGAAACUGGCAAACUGGAGUGUGUGAGAGGAUAGUGGAAUUCCAGGUGUAGGAGUGAAAUCCGUAGAUAUCUGGCAGAACAUCAGUGGCGAAGGCGACUAUCUGGCACAUAACUGACGCUGAGGAGCGAAAGCGUGGGUAGCAAACAGGAUUAGAUACCCGAGUAGUC
This 465-nucleotide ribosomal RNA is filed under the name uncultured bacterium. Its description in RNAcentral is "partial 16S ribosomal RNA". It matches the Rfam family "Bacterial small subunit ribosomal RNA", at positions 338 to 795 of the family's 1533-position model. The record is from RNAcentral.